AUAUUGGACAAUGGGGGCAACCCUGAUCCAGCCAUGCCGCGUGUGUGAACAAGGUCUUCGGAUUGUAAAGCACUUUAAGUUGGAAGGAAGGGCUGUAGGCUAAUACACGGCACUUUUGACGUUACAAACGGAUUAAGCACCGGCUACCUCGGUGCCAGCAGCCGCGGUAAUACAGAGGGUGCAAGCGUUAGUCGGAAUUACGGGGCGUAAGGCGCGCGUAGGUGGUUCAGUAAGAUGGGUGUGAAAUCCCCGGGCUUAACCUGGGAACUGCUUUCAUAACUGCUGAGCUAGAGUACGGUAGAAGGUAGUGGAAUUUCCUGUGUAGCGGUGAAAUGCGUAGAUAUAGGAAGGAACACCAGUGGCGAAGGCGACUACCUGGACUGAUACUGACACUGAGGUGCGAAAGCGUGGGGAGCAAACA
RNAcentral lists this ribosomal RNA (421 nucleotides) under uncultured bacterium. RNAcentral's name for it is "partial 16S ribosomal RNA". It matches the Rfam family "Bacterial small subunit ribosomal RNA", at positions 361 to 774 of the family's 1533-position model. The record is from RNAcentral.